GACGAACGCUGGCGGCGUGCUUAACACAUGCAAGUCGAACGGAAAGGCCCUGCUUUUGUGGGGUGCUCGAGUGGCGAAUGGGUGAGUAACACGUGAGUAACCUGCCCUUGACUUUGGGAUAACUUCAGGAAACUGGGGCUAAUACCGGAUAGGAGCUCCUGCUGCAUGGUGGGGGUUGGAAAGUUUCGGCGGUUGGGGAUGGACUCGCGGCUUAUCAGCUUGUUGGUGGGGUAGUGGCUUACCAAGGCUUUGACGGGUAGCCGGCCUGAGAGGGUGACCGGCCACAUUGGGACUGAGAUACGGCCCAGACUCCUACGGGAGGCAGCAGUGGGGAAUAUUGCACAAUGGGCGGAAGCCUGAUGCAGCAACGCCGCGUGCAGGAUGACGGCCUUCGGGUUGUAAACCGCUUUCGCCUGUGACGAAGCGUGAGUGACGGUAAUGGGUAAAGAAGCACCGGCUAACUACGUG
RNAcentral lists this ribosomal RNA (468 nucleotides) under uncultured bacterium. RNAcentral's name for it is "partial 16S ribosomal RNA". It matches the Rfam family "Bacterial small subunit ribosomal RNA", at positions 28 to 507 of the family's 1533-position model. The record is from RNAcentral.